GAGGCCAAGGGAGGAGGCGGUUGGCUGUCAGGGAGGCAAGAGUCAGGAAUUUCCGGAGGUGGGUAGUCAGGGCGUAGGUUGGGGGAAGGCGACCUGGCCGGACAGUUCAAGGGGCAGGGGAAGGGGCAGGCUCCAGUGCGAUGGAAGAGCCUUGCCCUGAAGACCUGGGAACGCCCAGGUUUAUCCAGUUUCUGCCUCUAACUUACUGUGUGAUAUGGGAAAAGUCACUUCUUCCUGGCGUUGGUGCCCUCUUUGGUGAAAUGUAAAACCCUGUUCCUUGGACUAGGACUCAUUUUCCUUCCUGCCCUCAAUUCUGUGAUUCUGCCUGGACCCUGGCAAGAAAGAACAGCGAUGCGCGGAGUUACCCAGGAGUAAAGACACUGCUCGGUUCUGGCCCAGGACCAUAUUUUGCGUAAAGAAGCAAACUGGCCUGGAAGCAGGAAAAAAUGGGUCUGGCCCCACCUUGGAUGCUUAUUCAGCAUGAACUUGGACAAAUCAUUUCAUUUCUUUACUCAGCAGAAAAAUGACAGUAUUGAUCUUCAGACAUUUUGUGGCUAUUUUAAACGAUUUUAUUUUUUAGCAGAGAAAUCUCUUAUCUGUGUUGGGACAAAAACAAAAAAACUUGCCCUGAUUGAAGCAGCAGGAAAGGCUCUUGAGUCUAUCCCUGUGACUUUGGGGAGUCAUUUCAUUUUGCUUGGGCCUCUAUCUGUAACAUGGGAAUAAGAACUGCUCUUCUGAUCUCAUAGUUAAUUGGGGAAAAUGAGACAAGAUAUGUGGAAAGAUUUUGCAAACUCUAAAUUGAGGUACAAAUGUACAAAUUCAUACUCAGGCCUGGUGUCAACCCCUUCAUCACCUCUUCUGGUCCAGAAGUCAAGUCCUCCCAAAGGCAUUCCCAAAGCUCAUGGCCAUGGAAGGAAAAGAUGUCUGUUUCUCUCCAACCCAAAGCAUGGUAUGGGGCUGGUAGCCCCGGAAACCAGAGUCAGCAUCUUCCAGACCCAUGCAGAAUCUGGGGACAAGGAUUAUAUCUACGACCUUCUCCAAAUUUCUGUAUUUGACUUGAGAUGGCACAGCAGAUGGCAAUGAAAUCACUUAGCAAGCAGGCAGUGGAGACUGCAACCUGAGGGGUGGCCCCACAUCUACAGAUCUGCAAUGGAGGGAAGCCUGAGGAGGGGACAGAAGAUAACACAGCUUCUUUAUACAGAACUUUUAAUAGAAAGAAGAGCGACAACACAGCACUGGCAUGUCAACAAAAGAACACUUUGAUAGCCAGUGAUCAAAAAUAAAAUCACCAGUCGUGAGACAUAUCAACAUUGGGUACCUCCUGAUACGAUGCGCUGAGAAAGACCCAACAUUACUUCUGUGGUAUUUUUGCCAAGUAUACACAACCUCAGCCUAAAUCUUGAGGAGUCGUCAGACUAAUCCAAAUUGAAGGACGCUGUGAAAAACAACUGGCCAAUAUUCGUCAGGGUGACGUGAAGCCUAAGGAACUAUACAUUGGAGGAGAUUGAGAGGAUGUGUCAACUAACUGCAAUGCCAGAUCCUGGAUUUGCCCAGAAAAUAGGAGACAAAGAAGAAAUACUAUGGCUACGUCAACCUUGGAGGGUAGCCCUGAAGGCAAGAACUUGAGCUCAGCCAGGUAGGAGAAACAUGAAGAAUGUUCCUUAUCUUGGUUCUUAAUUCAUUACCUCAGAACAAAGAGUUAAUAAUUGCCACUGACAUCAACAAUUGUCUGACCUGUGGAAGUUGUUCUGAGGUUCUUGGACAGAGGACUGUAAAAGCCUGGGGACUCACUGGGGGUUAGGAGAUCCAUAAUCUCUUGGUGGCAUUGCCACUUCUGUUUGGUCAGAGGGCAGCAGUCAAUUGGGGGACACAGGUUUGGCAGAACCUGUUAGGUAGGAGGAAGGAGGGGGCAGUGAGGACGGCUAUGGAAAGACCAAGCAGCAGAGGAGAAAAACCUGUUAAAACCACAAAUAUCUUAUUUAACAUUUCAAAGUCUUCCUCCCUGACAGCAAUAUCCUUCAGAGAAGGAGUGGUAAAAGAAUUGAGUGCUCCAAGGCUCAAGUUUCUUGAACAUAUAGGACUGACAUCAAGAUAAGGGAUUCCCCGGGCGCCUGGGUGGCUCAGUCAUUAAGCAUCUGACUUGGGCUCAGAUCAUGAUCUCAUGGUUGGUGAGUUCGAGACCCACAUCAGAUGAACUUGAGUCCCACUUCAGGUGAGCCCCGCUUCUCUCUCUCUUUCUCUCUCUCUGCCCCUCGCUCACUUGUGCCCUCUCUCUCUCUCUCUCUCAAAAGAAAAGAAAAAAAAGAAAAGAAGAUAAGGGAUUCCCUGGUGUCCAUCACUUAACACUUAACCAAUAUUUGACCCAUCCUUCCCUAUCUCUCAAAGUUUGUGGAUGGCAUUACCAUGCUGUCAUUCACCAAAACUUCAAUUUCUUUAUAUGAGCCUUGGCAAAGAAAGGCCAGGAAAUGGAAGAGACCAAGAUGUUUCACCUGAAAACAGAAUAGAAAAUGUGGACAACUAAAUUCAUUGGUAUGGCAUCCCCCCAAAUGAAGCUGAUGCGUAGUUUCGGCCAUGUACCUUGUUGAAACCCAGUUGAACUUGUAAUUAAUGAUGUAAGGGAAUGCAAUUGUAGGCAUGAAGGAUGGGUCAUGGGACUUCAGUAAAACCAGCUUAGCCUCCAUGCAUGCCUUGAGGAAGGAUGCUGUGGUGACUGGAGUAGAACCAGCGUGGGCUCCACUUGGCUUGUGCCCGUGCACAACCAGGCAGUUACAGUCCCAGAAAUCAGGGCACAGGAUAACCACCCCAAGUGAAAUGGAGGACCUGGCCUUAAAAGGAAACAAGGAAGUGAUGAGAGCCAUUUGGCCUGGUGAAUUCGAGGUAUGACUCUUUACCUCCCUUCCAGCUGGGGAGGAUUAAACAGAGGAAACUUUAGUGUUUGAAUCUAAAGUUUUCUGCUUAAAGGUGAUUAAAACUAACUUUCCUAAAGAAGGCUACUUGUUUUCAAUGUUUCCAACACAGGUUUUGGAUAAAAUGCAGACAUUUUAAUAUAAAAUUACUUAUCUUUGGUAUUUUGAGUUGCCCAAGGGUGGAGAGAAAGUAUCGACCCCCUGACCCAGGAAGUGAGCAUCAGCAGCUACUCAAAUCCCACUUGACUCCAGAAGUGUUCAAAGGGUAUAGUGACUUUGGGAUCCUAACAACAAGUGACUUAAAAUAAAUCUGAGCUUCUGUGUUUGCAGUUCAAUCACCUUUACGGAGCACCUACUCUCUGCUAGGUGCUGUGCUGGGUGCAAGGGCUACAGUCAUAAUCAAGGUGGGCCAGGUCUCUGCCCUCGGCUUUUAUUCACAAAUGCAACUUCUUUGUCUCAGUAUUCAUUGCUUUAAAGUAGACACUGGUAAGAGAGACCCUGCCUGAGCCCGUUACUUUAGGUGGGCUGGCUCUGGCUCCCCUCCAGCCUCACCCCUGCACAUAGGGUGAGGAGCCCAUAACUCCCACCUAGGCCUCAUUCCAGGUACCUGGCAUCCCAGAAUUCCCUGCUCAGAUGAUGAAAUCCUAGGCUCCGAAUGGCCACAGGGCAGAUCUAUCCUCAUGGUAUGGACAGAAUUAGAAUGUGUGGGCUGGAAUAUGCCCACGUGUACAUUUGAGGCCUUCUGUGGUACAGGAUAGAAAGUGAAAGUGAAUGGGCCUGUGUCCAAGGGCCACGUGCCCUGGUACCUCCUUGUUUCAGCCGAAAGCUCCAAGAGCCUGGGAACUGUAAAUUUCAGCCUGGCCCUUCCCUGUCAUUACAUUUGUCGAAGUAGAAGGAUAGAACGCAUUUUAUUUAACAGGUUGUUGGUUUGAUUUAUAACUUUUAAAUGUUUAGACACACGGUCUGUGAGCCCUGCAGAGGUGAAGCGUGGGUGAGACCUUCAGAGCAGGGGAGAUGAGGCUGAGGAGUGACAUCACCUUUCUUCUGGCCCCCAGGCUUUUCCCCAUGCCCCGUCAAAGGGCCUCUGUGGAUUGGAUGUACCUCAAAGGAUGCUGGUUCUCCUUUACUCCCCACUCUGGUCACCAUUUGCAAGGAUUGCUGCAGCAUCCCACCAGACUCCCAGGGUCUGGGAGAGGCAGCUGGCUACACUUUGUAGUCCAUUUUGCUCACAUGCUGACUAAGUGUGCCGGGUCAAAAUUCAGCGGCGUCUCCCCAUGCCACAGAAAUGCAUUCCCUCCUUGCCCAUUACUAAUCAGUGCAGUAAAUGUUUCUGUACAAAGCUGAUAUGUUCCUUUUCCACAAGGCACAUUAUGCCUAGAACCAUGGUCCCGGGAAGUGACAGCACAGUGGUGUGAGACCUGAGAUGAAAAUAGGCAUACUUUCUCCCAGUGACCUUUUGGCUCAUGCCUGGAUAGGAAUCUUGGGUAUUUACUGGCCAUGUGACUUGGGGGACAAGUUUCUUAGCCCCGCCCCCCCCUCUGAGUUUCUGUUUUCCAUCUGAAAAUGGGAACAGGAGAUUGAAUGGGAAAGGGUGUAAAGCAAAACUCAAGAACCUGGUUCAUGGUAGAUGUUCAAAGGUUGGAGUGGCCUUUACACACCUCACACUCCCCACUGUUGUGUGUCCUCAGACUCAGUCUCUCUCCCUCCCUGGCCUCUACCGAAUGCGGUGGGCCCUCCUUCACUCUGCUGCACGCCCCCCCCCCCCACCAGUCAUGCUGCACAUCUCUGCAAGACUGGCAGUAUUCUGUCCCAGGACUGCAGCUACCGUCAGGAGGCUCAGCCUGCCCCAUCAGCAAGCAUCCUGGCCCUGUCUGCUCAUCAGCCUCCAACAUCUGGAUGAAACCCUACUUGAAAGAAAGUGCUGCAGUGUUGAGAGCUUGCUCUACCUGGAACAAUGAAGGCAGAUGCAGGUGAGUGCUUUCCCUGGAAAUUCGCACCUCAACAAAGAGAAGGGGACAGAUGUCAAAGUGCUACGCAGCCCAGGGGCUGCAGACCAUAGGCUUUGGAAUCAGACUGGCUGGGGCUUGGCUCUGUAACUUAGUGGGUGCAUCUGGACAACUGAAUGCCUCAGAAUCUUAACUUCCUCCUCUGUAAAAUGGAGCAAAAUCAAAGGAGAUUUGAAAGACCUGA
Molecule: long non-coding RNA, 5096 nt
Organism: Felis catus (domestic cat)
Lineage: Eukaryota; Metazoa; Chordata; Mammalia; Carnivora; Felidae
Exons: 5
Source: RefSeq, a predicted model, not a curated record